GAUGAACGCUGGCGGCGUGCCUAAUACAUGCAAGUCGAGCGAACAGAUGAGGAGCUUGCUCCUCUGACGUUAGCGGCGGACGGGUGAGUAACACGUGGAUAACCUACCUAUAAGACUGGGAUAACUUCGGGAAACCGGAGCUAAUACCGGAUAAUAUAUUGAACCGCAUGGUUCAAUAGUGAAAGACGGUUUUGCUGUCACUUAUAGAUGGAUCCGCGCCGCAUUAGCUAGUUGGUAAGGUAACGGCUUACCAAGGCAACGAUGCGUAGCCGACCUGAGAGGGUGAUCGGCCACACUGGAAGUGAGACACGGUCCAGGCUACUACGGGAGGCAGCAGUAGGGAAUCGUCCGCAAUGGGCGAAAGCUUGACGGAGCAACGCCGCGUGAGUGAUGAAGGUCUUCGGAUCGGAAAACUCUGUUAUUAGGGAAGAACAAAUGUGUAAGUAACUAUGCACGUCUUGACGGUAACUAAUCAGAAAGCCACGGCUAACUACGUG
This 497-nucleotide ribosomal RNA is filed under the name uncultured bacterium. RNAcentral's name for it is "partial 16S ribosomal RNA". It matches the Rfam family "Bacterial small subunit ribosomal RNA", at positions 28 to 507 of the family's 1533-position model. The record is from RNAcentral.